This 271-nucleotide ribosomal RNA is filed under the name uncultured archaeon. RNAcentral describes it as "partial 16S ribosomal RNA". It matches the Rfam family "Archaeal small subunit ribosomal RNA", at positions 477 to 747 of the family's 1478-position model. The record is from RNAcentral.
CAGCGCCACGAGUGGCAAUCACAUUUAUUGGGCCUAAAGCGUCCGUAGCUGGUUUGGUAAAUCUUCCGUGAAAUCGUUGGGCUCAACCCAACGGCGUGCAGGAGACACUACUAAACUUGAGACCGGGAGGAGUUAGAGGUAUUUCUUGGGUAGCGGUAAAAUGCAAUAAUCCAAGACAGACCACCUGUGGCGAAGGCGUCUAACUAGAACGGUUCUGACAGUGAGGGACGAAAGCCAGGGGAGCGAACCGGAUUAGAGACCCGAGUAGUCC